GGGGAAUUUUCCGCAAUGGGCGAAAGCCUGACGGAGCAAUACCGCGUGAGGGAGGAAGGCUCUUGGGUUGUAAACCUCUUUUCUCAGGGAAGAAAAAAAUGACGGUACCUGAGGAAUAAGCAUCGGCUAACUCCGUGCCAGCAGCCGCGGUAAUACGGAGGAUGCAAGCGUUAUCCGGAAUGAUUGGGCGUAAAGGGUCCGCAGGUGGCAUUGUAWGUCUGCUGUUAAAGAGUCUGGCUCAACCAGAUCAAAGCAGUGGAAACUACAAAGCUAGAGUAUGGUCGGGGCAGAGGGAAUUCCUGGUGUAGCGGUGAAAUGCGUAGAUAUCAGGAAGAAC
Molecule: ribosomal RNA, 337 nt
Filed under: uncultured cyanobacterium
Lineage: Bacteria; Bacillati; Cyanobacteriota
Description: bacterial SSU rRNA
Rfam family: Bacterial small subunit ribosomal RNA
Source: RNAcentral